Molecule: ribosomal RNA, 521 nt
Filed under: uncultured bacterium
Lineage: Bacteria
Description: bacterial SSU rRNA
Rfam family: Bacterial small subunit ribosomal RNA
Source: RNAcentral
AAUAGAUACCCGGGUAGUCCACGCCGUAAACGAUGGAUACUAGCUGUUCGGUCGCAAGAUUGAGUGGCUAAGCGAAAGUGAUAAGUAUCCCACCUGGGGAGUACGAACGCAAGUUUGAAACUCAAAGGAAUUGACGGGGGCCCGCACAAGCGGUGGAGCAUGUGGUUUAAUUCGAUGAUACGCGAGGAACCUUACCAAGGCUUAAAUGUAUAUUGACAGGACUGGAAACAGUUUUUUCUUCGGACAAUUUACAAGGUGCUGCAUGGUUGUCGUCAGCUCGUGCCGUGAGGUGUCAGGUUAAGUCCUAUAACGAGCGCAACCCCUGUUGUUAGUUGCCAGCGAGUCAAGUCGGGAACUCUAACAAGACUGCCAGUGUAAACUGUGAGGAAGGUGGGGAUGACGUCAAAUCAUCACGGCCCUUACGCCUUGGGCUACACACGUGCUACAAUGGCCGGUACAGAGAGCAGCCACUGCGCGAGCAGGAGCGAAUCUAUAAAACCGGUCACAGUUCGGAUCGGAGU